Molecule: non-coding RNA, 333 nt
Organism: Pelobates cultripes (western spadefoot toad)
Lineage: Eukaryota; Metazoa; Chordata; Amphibia; Anura; Pelobatidae
Source: the annotation of a GenBank genome assembly
UUUUUCUUUAUUUGUAUUUUUUUUUAAGCCAACCUCUGGUAGCAGUACAUAUUCUUGUAUUCUUUUUCAAUGAAACUGUGCACUCAUUCAACAGGAGAAAAUAUUAGCUUGGGACAUGUUAAAAACUAUGGAACCGUGCCAGGCUUCUCUAUUGUACAGCCACAUUAUGUAUCUUAAUCUCAAUUGUUCGAUCUAACAGUGGCUAGAGAGCAGUGGUCCCCAAAUCAGUCCUCAAGACCCACCAACAGUCCAGGUUUUAGUAUUUCCAUUGGAAUAAAACUUGAAAAUACAUAAAUUGUGGAUUGUUGGUGGGUGUCACAGUUUAGUAGAUAG